UCCGAAUUAGUGUAGGGGUUAACAUAACUCGCUUUCAUUAUCUUAUGAUAUGGUACCGAGUAGCCCCGGGUUCGAUUCCCGGAUUCGGAA
This 90-nucleotide transfer RNA is filed under the name Botrytis cinerea. Its description in RNAcentral is "tRNA-Glu". It matches the Rfam family "tRNA". From Rfam's summary of the family: Transfer RNA (tRNA) molecules are approximately 80 nucleotides in length. Lineage: Eukaryota; Fungi; Ascomycota; Leotiomycetes; Helotiales; Sclerotiniaceae. The record is from RNAcentral. RNAcentral also lists the same sequence under 2 other names.